Molecule: transfer RNA, 73 nt
Filed under: Cymbomonas tetramitiformis
Lineage: Eukaryota; Viridiplantae; Chlorophyta; Pyramimonadophyceae; Pyramimonadales; Pyramimonadaceae
Description: tRNA-Met
Rfam family: tRNA
About the family: Transfer RNA (tRNA) molecules are approximately 80 nucleotides in length. Their secondary structure includes four short double-helical elements and three loops (D, anti-codon, and T loops).
Source: RNAcentral
GACUCAGUAGCUCAGUUGGCAGAGCAAGAGAUUCAUAUCCUCUGGGUCACAGGUUCAAAUCCCGUCUGAGUCA